Oncorhynchus tshawytscha (Chinook salmon) is the source of this 1755-nucleotide long non-coding RNA. RefSeq lists it as uncharacterized. The transcript has 3 exons. Lineage: Eukaryota; Metazoa; Chordata; Actinopteri; Salmoniformes; Salmonidae. The record is from RefSeq and is a predicted model, not a curated record.
CCAUUGUUAACUAACGUUAACAGCUAGCUAGCGUUACUUAUAUAAAACCUAUAAUUUAUGUCCUGUUUCCAACGCGAAUUAAACACUACCUGGGGCCUAUCACUCUACUGACAAAGUCUACUACUCAACUGGAGCCUCUUAGGAUCCUUGACCCAUCUUCACUGCCUCCGCAUACGACAUCUUCUGACUAGAUGCUUUGUUGCGUAUUGCUGCCCUUCACAGGAACAGGAGGGUCUGUCUCUAUCAGCCCCAGGCCGUGUAUCAUCCCUGCACUGAGACUGUGAAGAGAAGGGUCUGGGCUGCAGACUGGAUCCCUGACUGGAGCCUCUGUCUCUCUGAUGACCACCAGGACUGAGGUUGUUCAGUCCACUAGUCCACUGGUUGUGUUCUGUGUGGUGGUGGAGUCUCUGUCCCUCGUGGUUCGUUCCCGGUUCUGAUUUGGGAAGGACGAGCGACGGCUCCUGAUCCAGGGUCCUGAUCCGGGGCCAGGGUUUGUGACCAGCAAUCUCAAAGGUUCUACUCUCUCCUCUCACCAGCAACAGCAAUAUCAGCAGGUCCUCAUUAACAGAAUCUAUGGCAAUCUUUGGUUGUUUAUACUUUAAUAGCUAAACACAUUUGUUCAUAUAUAUUGUUCAUUUAUUAUAUCUGUGUCCAUAUUGUCCAUGAGUUUCUAGUAGAUAGACCAUAUGGUUCAAGAGAAAAUAGUCAAUUUAAUGAAAAAGUUAUCUAAUCAACAUUGGCAAAUUGACUUACUUUCAAUUAACUCUAUUGACUGGGUUCACAACUGACACCAGUUUGACAACAAAUGCACGUUGACAUUAUAAAAUAAAUAAGCAUGUUAAAAAAAAUAUAUUUCCUGCUGUAACCCUCAUAUUAAGCACCAAUGGUAUUCACUAAGGCCCGAUUCUGACCCGAGGUGAACCUGUGUAAAUGGAAUGUUAUUCCCUUGUCAUGCACUUUUCUCUCUAUGCGUAUCCUGAUCUUGAAUGUAAGCAUGAGAGUAGCAUGCUAUUCACCUGCUAUUCGUUUAGGGUGUAGAACUAAGAAAUGAAGGUGUGACAGGGGUGUGUUUACAGAUAAGGUGUAUUCUGACUUUGACUUAAUUCCCCUCAUAAUUCCACCACCUUUACAUGCGAGGACACCAUGAAUAAGGUCGCCGCAAACCUGCCAGUUCCAAGUGUAAAAGCAUCUACCUUUUACAAUAGAAUUAACAGCAUUCUCCAUGCACUGUAAUUUCUAAAUGGACAAGAGCUAUUGAUAAGAGCUCGGUAAAUGAGUAAUCCGUUUGUGGAGAAGGGGAUUGUAAAUACACAUAGCAAUUGUUUUUAAUUAAUUUUCCUAAUGAUCCCUGGAGAUGAAUGGAAAACCUCAUAUGGAAGCAAACUGAAAUUCAUAUCAACAUGACAUUUAUUGCUGCCCCUUUUCCACUGUGAAAAAGGCUACAAAUAGCUGUGCUGUUAUUCAGAAUUUGAAUUGUGUGCCCUCGUAAUUUGAUGCAUAUGCGCUUUAGAAUGUUUGAAUUAUAGCCUAUACCCGGGUAUUUCUCAGUUUGAUUUUACAAUUUGUAUCAUUUUCAAAAUGUGCCACUAUCGGGAGUAAAUCAGUAAUACCCACAUACAUUUAUAACGGUCACUUGUGUUAGUUUUCUUCAAUUUGGAGCCUACAUUUUGCAUCAUUCUAUUCCCUUUACCUUUCUUUCCUCUGUCACAACCUUGUAAAUUGUUCCUGGGGGUCGCUAGGAUUAGUGGAUCAUAU